GGGGCGUUAGCUCAGUUGGCUAGAGUGUCAGACUGGCAGUCUGAAGGUCAUGGGUUCGACUCCCAUACGCUCCA
Molecule: transfer RNA, 74 nt
Filed under: Bacteroidota bacterium
Lineage: Bacteria; Pseudomonadati; Bacteroidota
Also listed under: 2 other names
Description: Bacteroidetes bacterium (freshwater metagenome) tRNA-Ala
Rfam family: tRNA
About the family: Transfer RNA (tRNA) molecules are approximately 80 nucleotides in length.
Source: RNAcentral